RNAcentral lists this ribosomal RNA (253 nucleotides) under uncultured bacterium. RNAcentral describes it as "partial 16S ribosomal RNA". It matches the Rfam family "Bacterial small subunit ribosomal RNA", at positions 524 to 776 of the family's 1533-position model. The record is from RNAcentral.
UACGGGGGGGGCAAGCGUUGUUCGGAAUUACUGGGCGUAAAGGGCUCGUAGGUGGCCAACUAAGUCAGACGUGAAAUCCCUCGGCUUAACCGGGGAACUGCGUCUGAUACUGGAUGGCUUGAGUUUGGGAGAGGGACGCGGAAUUCCUGGUGUAGCGGUGAAAUGCGCAGAUAUCAGGAGGAACACCAGUGGCGAAGGCGGUGCUCUGGGCCGGAACUGACGCUGAGGAGCGAAAGCGUGGGGAGCAAACAGG